AAGCUUCAUCUUAGAAGCAGAUGACAAUUUCGCAGCAGCCAAACGACGUCUUCAGCAAUUCGAGCGGCAACAAUCGAUUCUAAACGGCAGUGGCGAGCGACGUCAACAAUUCCAAUAGCAAUUGGUUGGAUUGGUAUGAGAAUCAAGCAUAUUCCUCUGUCCUGGGAGGAAUUUUUUAUUUUCAAAUUCGAAAUGGUGGCGAGAUAGAUGAGGAGAGACAUUGCUAUGCUUCUUGAAUCCAUUUUCGUAUGCCACUACUCGUAUUCAAGAUGUAGGUUUAUGGUUGGAAGAAAUAAAGCUUGGAAGCUAUCGUCAAAUUUUCUAAGAAAAUGGUGUUAAUGGAGAGUAUUUGGAGGGGAUGUCCUGUUUCUUUUAAUUUUUGAUCUAUUAUCACUGUUUCAUUAUUUCAUUUGAGUUUAGUUUGUUCAAAAUAGGAUGAUUAAUCUAGAAACUAUUCAUGCUUA
Molecule: long non-coding RNA, 464 nt
Organism: Solanum tuberosum (potato)
Lineage: Eukaryota; Viridiplantae; Streptophyta; Magnoliopsida; Solanales; Solanaceae
Exons: 2
Source: RefSeq, a predicted model, not a curated record